GAUGAACGCUAGCGGCAGGCCUAAUACAUGCAAGACGAACGGUAAGUUGAGUAGCAAUACUUAGCCAAGAGUGUCGUACGGGUGCGUAACACGUAUGCAACCUACCCUAUACAGGAGGAUAGCCUAGGGAAACCUGGAUUAACCCUUCAUAGUAUUAUUGGAUGGCAUCAUUUGAUAAUUAAAACUGAGGUGGUAUAGGAUGGGCAUGCGUCUGAUUAGUUAGUUGGCGGGGUAAUGGCCCACCAAGACGAUGAUCAGUAGGGGUUCUGAGAGGAAGAUCCCCCACACUGGCACUGAGAUGCGGGCCAGACUCCUACGGGAGGCAGCAGUAGGGAAUAUUGGUCAAUGGAUGCAAGUCUGAACCAGCCAUGCCGCGUGCAGGAAGAAGGCCUUCUGGGGUUGUAAACUGCUUUUGCCAGGGGAUAAAUUUCCAUGCGUGGAAACUGAAGGUACCUGGUGAAUAAGCCACGGCUAACUACGUGCCAGCAGCCGCGGUAA
RNAcentral lists this ribosomal RNA (498 nucleotides) under uncultured bacterium. RNAcentral describes it as "bacterial SSU rRNA". It matches the Rfam family "Bacterial small subunit ribosomal RNA", at positions 28 to 523 of the family's 1533-position model. The record is from RNAcentral.